Molecule: ribosomal RNA, 476 nt
Filed under: uncultured bacterium
Lineage: Bacteria
Description: partial 16S ribosomal RNA
Rfam family: Bacterial small subunit ribosomal RNA
Source: RNAcentral
UUGCACGCUGGCGGCAUGCCUUACCCCUGCACGUCGCACGGUAACAGGUUAAGCUGACGAGUGGCGAACGGGUGAGUAAUGUAUCGGAACGUGCCCAGUCGUGGGGGAUAACUGCUCGAAAGAGCAGCUAAUACCGCAUACGACCUGAGGGUGAAAGCGGGGGAUCGCAAGACCUCGCGCGAUUGGAGCGGCCGAUAUCAGAUUAGGUAGUUGGUGAGGUAAAGGCUCACCAAGCCGACGAUCUGUAGCUGGUCUGAGAGGACGACCAGCCACACUGGGACUGAGACACGGCCCAGACUCCUACGGGAGGCAGCAGUGGGGAAUUUUGGACAAUGGGCGCAAGCCUGAUCCAGCCAUGCCGCGUGCGGGAAGAAGGCCUUCGGGUUGUAAACCGCUUUUGUCAGGGAAGAAAAGGUUCUGGCUAAUACCUGGGACUCAUGACGGUACCUGAAGAAUAAGCACCGGCUAACUACGUG